UCCUGUGAAUUUCAAAGCCUUUGAUAGUCAUGAAACAUCAGAGGAUCCUUUAUGCUAAGCAAAACGUGUGUGAAAGCAGUGCUGCUUCUGAUCCCGCCAGGAGCUGCUGCACACCCCGUUCCUCUUCCUUAUGUUUGUCUUCCCCCAGCUGAUGCAGUCAAUUUGCAUUUGUCUGGGUGGCCGUGGCUGUGCCCUUACUCUGCUCUGGUGGAUGACAGCAGACCAAAACCCAUUAUAGGACUUGCCUGCAUGGCCAGUGGCCACCCCAGCCCGGAUGAUCCACAGGGAUGGCUGCACUCCAAGCCCCGGGAUGCCCUGCCUGCAGCAGAGCACACAACUCACUUUGGUUUUGUCCCAGCCUCCCUUUACAGGAUCAGGCAGCGAGGCCAUGGCACAGGGAUUUCCUGGAAGAGCUCUGAUGGCACCAGGCACAGGUGGCAGAUUUAUAGGCAGACACAAAUCACUGUGAAUGCAGGUCACUGGAAAGGACAGCACAACCACCCGAGCUGGGCAGCCUAUCCUUGGAACAGGUGCCAGCCAAGUGGAGAAGCUGCAGCAUAAAGGGGCAGGACAUGGCAUGGGCACCCCCAGGGGAACAGUCCAGGGAAGCUGAGUUGGGAGAAGACAGUGAGAGCAGUGAGGAGCCCUCCUGCCACCACAAGCAGGCUGCAGGGCAAAGUAAUGCAUGACUGCUGCUUGAAAGAAGAGCUGGUUGAAGAUUGCAUCCAUACUGCAAUGCAACAGAGGAAACAUCAUCUUAUCAUGAGGCCUGAUGGAUAUCUUUCAUCUCUGACAAGGAAAUGGAUGCAGGUUUGCCCAUCUGCAGGUUCCAUGACUGUUUGGAAACAGACAAGCAUCAUGCUUUCAUCCAGGAAGGUCAGUUCUCCUCUCCUCCUGCUGUCUGCU
Long non-coding RNA from Passer montanus (Eurasian tree sparrow), 906 nucleotides. RefSeq lists it as uncharacterized. The transcript has 6 exons. The record is from RefSeq and is a predicted model, not a curated record. NCBI's taxonomy places the organism in Eukaryota, Metazoa, Chordata, Aves, Passeriformes, Passeridae.